This 774-nucleotide ribosomal RNA is filed under the name uncultured Neocallimastigales. RNAcentral's name for it is "partial large subunit ribosomal RNA". It matches the Rfam family "Eukaryotic large subunit ribosomal RNA", at positions 19 to 649 of the family's 3401-position model. The record is from RNAcentral. Lineage: Eukaryota; Fungi; Neocallimastigomycota; Neocallimastigomycetes; Neocallimastigales.
CGAGCACGCGCGUGUGGCAUAUCAAUAAGCGGAGGAAAAGAAACUAACAAGGAUUCCCUUAGUAACGGCGAGUGAAGCGGGAAGAGCUCAAAUUUGAAAUCUUCAAGGUUCUACCUUGACGAAUUGUAGUUUAUAGAAGUGUUUUCUGUUAGUGGAGUGGCAAAAGUUCUUUGGAAUAGGACAUCAUAGAGGGUGAGAAUCCCGUAUUUGGUCAUUCCUCCUAGCGUUGUGAUACACUUUCAACGAGUCGGAUUGUUUGGGAAUGCAGUCCAAAAUGGGUGGUAAAUUUCAUCUAAAGCUAAAUAUUGGCGAGAGACCGAUAGCGAACAAGUACCGUGAGGGAAAGAUGAAAAGAACUUUGAAAAGAGAGUUAAACAGUACGUGAAAUUGUCAAAAGGGAAGCGUUUGACACCAGUGUUGUUUUUCCGAAAAUCAAUUACGAAUGUUUUGUUUUUGAGGAGUUAUGACUUCAUCGACUUGCUCCUUUCUUUACGAAACUUUCUUAAUGCACUUUUCGGUUAACAAGUCAACAUCAAUUUCUUUUGUUGUAAAAGGGUAUGAGGAAGGUGGCUUUCUUUUCGGAGAAAGUGUUUAUAGCCUUGUGCCUCUACAAUCGGAGAGAUUGAGGUCUGCAGCGUAGAUCCUUCGGGGUUAGAUACGUUUGUGCUAAGUUAUAGCUUUUUAUAGACAACUUGUUGACUAUGUUUAGUCUUGUAGCUUACUCGCUUAUGCUAUUUUACCUACGCUUAGGAUGUUGAGUAGCGACAUACGCAC